UAGCCGUAAACGAUACUCGCUAGGUGUCGGCCACGGUGCGACCGUUGUCGGUGCCGUAGGGAAGCCGUGAAGCGAGCCACCUGGGAAGUACGGCCGCAAGGCUGAAACUUAAAGGAAUUGGCGGGGGGAGCACCACAACGGGUGGAGCCUGCGGUUUAAUUGGACUCAACGCCGGGAAGCUUACCGGAUAAGACAGCGGAAUGAUUGCCGGGCUGAAGACUCUGCAUGACCAGCUGAGAGGUGGUGCAUGGCGUAGUCGUGU
RNAcentral lists this ribosomal RNA (262 nucleotides) under uncultured archaeon. RNAcentral's name for it is "partial 16S ribosomal RNA". It matches the Rfam family "Archaeal small subunit ribosomal RNA", at positions 748 to 1009 of the family's 1478-position model. The record is from RNAcentral.